AUGAACGCUGGCGGCGUGCCUCAUCCCUGCCGGUCGAACGCUUCACUUCGGUGAAGAGUGGCGAACGGGUGAGUAAUACAUAAGUAACCUGGCAUCUACAGGGGGAUAACUGAUGGAAACGUCAGCUAAGACCGCAUAGGUGUAGAGAUCGCAUGAACUCUAUAUGAAAAGUGCUACGGGACUGGUAGAUGAUGGACUUAUGGCGCAUUAGCUUGUUGGUAGGGUAACGGCCUACCAAGGCGACGAUGCGUAGCCGACCUGAGAGGGUGACCGGCCACACUGGGACUGAGACACGGCCCAGACUCCUACGGGAGGCAGCAGUAGGGAAUUUUCGGCAAUGGGGGAAACCCUGACCGAGCAACGCCGCGUGAAGGAAGAAGUAAUUCGUUAUGUAAACUUCUGUCAUAGAGGAAGAACGGUGGAUAUAGGGAAUGAUAUCCAAGUGACGGUACUCUAUAAGAAAGCCACGGCUAACUACGUG
RNAcentral lists this ribosomal RNA (481 nucleotides) under uncultured bacterium. RNAcentral describes it as "partial 16S ribosomal RNA". It matches the Rfam family "Bacterial small subunit ribosomal RNA", at positions 29 to 507 of the family's 1533-position model. The record is from RNAcentral.